Gorilla gorilla gorilla (western lowland gorilla) is the source of this 65-nucleotide microRNA precursor. NCBI's taxonomy places the organism in Eukaryota, Metazoa, Chordata, Mammalia, Primates, Hominidae. The record is from Ensembl.
GAAGGCAGCAGUGCUCCCCUGUGACAUGCUCCAUCACCGGGCAGGGAAGACACCGCUGCCACCUC